UCCCAUAUUGUCUAGUGGUUAGGAUACCCGGCUCUCACCCGGGAGGCCCGGGUUCAAUUCCCGGUAUGGAGG
This 72-nucleotide transfer RNA is filed under the name Drosophila simulans. It matches the Rfam family "tRNA". From Rfam's summary of the family: Transfer RNA (tRNA) molecules are approximately 80 nucleotides in length. Lineage: Eukaryota; Metazoa; Arthropoda; Insecta; Diptera; Drosophilidae. The record is from Rfam by way of RNAcentral.